Molecule: ribosomal RNA, 253 nt
Filed under: uncultured bacterium
Lineage: Bacteria
Description: partial 16S ribosomal RNA
Rfam family: Bacterial small subunit ribosomal RNA
Source: RNAcentral
UACGAAGGGGGCUAGCGUUGUUCGGAAUUACUGGGCGUAAAGCGUGCGCAGGCGGCUUCUCAAGUCAGGGGUGAAAGCCCAGAGCUCAACUCUGGAAUUGCCUUUGAGACUGAGUGGCUAGAAUCGUGGAGAGGUGAGUGGAAUUCCGAGUGUAGAGGUGAAAUUCGUAGAUAUUCGGAAGAACACCAGUGGCGAAGGCGACUCACUGGACACGUAUUGACGCUGAGGUGCGAAAGCGUGGGGAGCAAACAGG